This 440-nucleotide ribosomal RNA is filed under the name uncultured bacterium. RNAcentral describes it as "partial 16S ribosomal RNA". It matches the Rfam family "Bacterial small subunit ribosomal RNA", at positions 338 to 795 of the family's 1533-position model. The record is from RNAcentral.
CCUACGGGCGGCAGCAGUGGGGAAUAUUGCACAAUGGGCGAAACCCUGAUCCAGCGACGUCGCGUGAGUGAAGAAGUAUCUCGGUAUGUAAAGCUUCAUCUGUAGGGAAGAAAAUGACGGUACCUGACCAUGAAGGCCCGGCUAACAACGUGCCGGCACCAGUGGUGAUGUGUAGGGGGCAGCCGUUAUCCGGAUUUACUGGGUGUAAAGGGAGCGUAGAGGGCAGCACAAGUCUGGAGUGAAAUCCCGGGGCUUAACCCCGGAACUGCUUUGGAAACUGUGCGGCUGGAGUGCAGGAGGGGUAAGCGGAAUUCGUAGUGUAGCGGUGAAAUGCGUAGAUAUUAGGAAGAACACCGGUGGCGAAGGCGGCUUACUGGAGUGUAACUAACGUUGAGGCUCGAAAGCGUGGGGAGCAAACAGGAUUAGAUACCCUUGUAGUC